RNAcentral lists this ribosomal RNA (1160 nucleotides) under Pectobacterium brasiliense. RNAcentral describes it as "bacterial SSU rRNA". It matches the Rfam family "Bacterial small subunit ribosomal RNA", at positions 253 to 1405 of the family's 1533-position model. Lineage: Bacteria; Pseudomonadati; Pseudomonadota; Gammaproteobacteria; Enterobacterales; Pectobacteriaceae. The record is from RNAcentral.
UGAGGUAAUGGCUCACCUAGGCGACGAUCCCUAGCUGGUCUGAGAGGAUGACCAGCCCCACUGGAACUGAGACACGGUCCAGACUCCUACGGGAGGCAGCAGUGGGGAAUAUUGCACAAUGGGCGCAAGCCUGAUGCAGCCAUGCCGCGUGUGUGAAGAAGGCCUUCGGGUUGUAAAGCACUUUCAGCGGGGAGGAAGGCGGUAAGGUUAAUAACCUUAUCGAUUGACGUUACCCGCAGAAGAAGCACCGGCUAACUCCGUGCCAGCAGCCCGCGGUAAUACGGAGGGUGCAAGCGUUAAUCGGAAUGACUGGGCGUAAAGCGCACGCAGGCGGUCUGUUAAGUUGGAUGUGAAAUCCCCGGGCUUAACCUGGGAACUGCAUUCAAAACUGACAGGCUAGAGUCUUGUAGAGGGGGGUAGAAUUCCAGGUGUAGCGGUGAAAUGCGUAGAGAUCUGGAGGAAUACCGGUGGCGAAGGCGGCCCCCUGGACAAAGACUGACGCUCAGGUGCGAAAGCGUGGGGAGCAAACAGGAUUAGAUACCCUGGUAGUCCACGCUGUAAACGAUGUCGAUUUGGAGGUUGUGCCCUUGAGGCGUGGCUUCCGGAGCUAACGCGUUAAAUCGACCGCCUGGGGAGUACGGCCGCAAGGUUAAAACUCAAAUGAAUUGACGGGGGCCCGCACAAGCGGUGGAGCAUGUGGUUUAAUUCGAUGCAACGCGAAGAACCUUACCUACUCUUGACAUCCACAGAAUUCGGUAGAGAUACCUUAGUGCCUUCGGGAACUGUGAGACAGGUGCUGCAUGGCUGUCGUCAGCUCGUGUUGUGAAAUGUUGGGUUAAGUCCCGCAACGAGCGCAACCCUUAUCCUUUGUUGCCAGCGAUUCGGUCGGGAACUCAAAGGAGACUGCCGGUGAUAAACCGGAGGAAGGUGGGGAUGACGUCAAGUCAUCAUGGCCCUUACGAGUAGGGCUACACACGUGCUACAAUGGCGUAUACAAAGAGAAGCGACCUCGCGAGAGCAAGCGGACCUCAUAAAGUACGUCGUAGUCCGGAUUGGAGUCUGCAACUCGACUCCAUGAAGUCGGAAUCGCUAGUAAUCGUAGAUCAGAAUGCUACGGUGAAUACGUUCCCGGGCCUUGUACACACCGCCCGUCACACCAU